GUUUAUUAUACAUAUCUGGCUAUGUCGAAUUAAUAUUCCAUGUAUUUUGAAUAUAAUGUAAUCCGUAUAUAUCUGCCACUUUACACCGCAAUACCAUUUUCAGAUGCAUGGGGAAAUAAUGCCAUUCUCUGAUAAGCAAGGAAUUUAAACUUUGAGAUGCUCUCAUAGCUUUUAGUGGGGAUUUUCUUUUAACACUAAUAGUGUAUAUUUCCAAUGCGUUUGUUAAAUUUAACAAGCUGCACAUUUUUUUCUUGAUGAGGAAAUUGACCUAAAUGUUGAUAUAAUUCGUUUACAUAAGCAGCUGUAUGUUUAUUUUCAUUGCAGUGUAAUUGUUUUUAAACACCAUGGUGCACAACGUUGCAAAUCCUCGUUUACGUCGGUUUUCUUUACACCUAUGCAAAAACAACAACAAAAAAAGCAUCAUUUAAACCCGAUUUGGAGCGCCGAGACUUCCCAGUGUUCUUUCUUUUGAGCCUCAUGCACUGCUGUUGGGAUGCAAUGGGAUUGUCAAGCUCCUGACCACAUCUGGUGCAAUUGGAUUUUUCCCUUUUCUUUCCUCUUGCUUUUGUUCUCACAGCUGUGUACAUUUCGCAUGACACCCUGACUGAUCCCUGACAGGUGACGAAUCAGCACCAAGCAAGCAGCAGCGCUGAACAGCACCGUGAGCUCAAGCUCUUGCCGACUCUUUGGCGCCAGCCUCGUGACGUCACCCAUUCAAAGCAGCACUGCAGCCAGUCCUCUCGGCGCCGGUCAGGCGGCUGCUAUGGUGACGGGGUCUGUCAGUCAGCGCGCGCUCCCAGCUGAUCAAUGGGUCUGAGCGCUGAGAAAUUGGAGUUUAAUUUGUCACCUCGGCUCUUCUCCGCUCCGGGCACUCACACCUGCAUCGAUUUGCAUUUCUUAAGUUACACUUUAUUUGGAAAAGGGUCAUUCCUCAGCAUAGUUUUGUAACAGGAGAUACUUACACAUAAUGAAAUUCAGCUGCUCUGAGGCUCGACCAAAAUGAAGCGCUGCUGUGCAGAAACCGAGGAAGGAUGGGGCACUGUAUAGGCCAACUUCCAGACACCAUUAUUCAACACAUCCAGAGGCUAUACCUUUCAUGGUUAUUUUGUUUAGGUGGGUGCAUGUGAUGAAUGCUGCCUAACAUCUGCACCUGGAAGAUCCAUAUAUUGUGACGUGUCUCACCCAACCAGAGGGAACGAAGCUCUCAAAUUCCAGUGUUGAACUCCAGAUCUACAGAGUAUGCAGUGUCCUUUUAAUACAGUUUUGUCCAACCCAUAACCUGUGUCCAAAAACGCCUGUUUCAAUAAUGUCUUUGUCACUUCUGUAUAGCACUGCUAUGACCACUGGAGAUGACCAACCACAAUGUAAAAAAUAAAAAGAAACAUGAAAACAGCUUUGUGAUGGCCUUAAAAACUGAUGGAAUCUUAACUUUUGCAGCUAAAG
Polyodon spathula (Mississippi paddlefish) is the source of this 1443-nucleotide long non-coding RNA. RefSeq lists it as uncharacterized. The transcript has 3 exons. The record is from RefSeq and is a predicted model, not a curated record. NCBI's taxonomy places the organism in Eukaryota, Metazoa, Chordata, Actinopteri, Acipenseriformes, Polyodontidae.